This is a long non-coding RNA of Talpa occidentalis (Iberian mole), 2033 nucleotides long. RefSeq lists it as uncharacterized. The record is from RefSeq and is a predicted model, not a curated record. The transcript has 6 exons. NCBI's taxonomy places the organism in Eukaryota, Metazoa, Chordata, Mammalia, Eulipotyphla, Talpidae.
GGUAGGCCUGCUUGUCGACCUCAGCAGCCUCCAGGCUGAGCCCAGGGCUGAACCGUCUCAUCCUUGUGGCCUCCAUGGUCAACCAAAAUGCCAACUCAGGGCUUGGCCUGUAGGCCGCCAAGGUCAACCAGCAGUCUGACACCAGGCUCAGUCUGGAGGCUGCUGAGGUCGACCAGCCACUGACCCCAGUCUCAACAAAGAUGCUGUUGAGCUCUACGAGCAUGCUAGGUCUGGCCUCAGUAUGGAGGCUGUCAAGGUCCUCCAGCACCUGCUCAGACCUGUGGUUAAAACUGCUGAGGUUGACCAGUAGGCUGGCCCUGGAUUCAGCCUGGAGACUGCUGAGGUUGACCAGCAGGCUGUUGCUGGGCUUACCCUGGAAGCCUCUGAGGUCCACUAGCAGGCUGACCCUGUCUCAGCCUGGAGCUUGCCGAAGUUGACCAGCAUGCCGACCCCUUCUAGGCCUGGUGGCUGCCUAGGUACACCAGCAGGCUGACCAGGUUCAGCCAGGAGGCUGCCAAGGUUAAUCAGCACGCCAACCCUGGGCUCAUCCUGGAUUCUGCUGAGUUCAUCUAGAUACCAGCCUAGGGUUUAACCAGGAGGCUACUGAGGUUGACCAGCAGGCCAACCCUGUCUCAACCUGGAGCUUGCUGAUAUCAUCUAGGAGCCCCACCCAGGUUUCAGCCAACAGACUAGUGAGGUUGACCAGCAUGCUGACCCCGUCUAAGCCUGGAGGCUGCCGAGGUUGACCAGCAGGCCAGCCCUGGGCUCAGUCUGGAAGCUGCCAAGCUUGCCCAGGAGCCCUACCCAGCAUUCAGCUAGGAGACUACUGAGGUGGACCAGCAGCCUGACCCGGGCUCAGCCUGUAGGCUGCUGAUGUGGACCAGCAGGCUGACCCCAUCUCAGCCUGGAGGCUGCCGAGAUUGACCUGCUGGCUGACUGCAGCUCUGCCUGGAGGUUCCUGUUGUUGACUAUCUCCCGGUCUCGGGCACAGCUUGGAGACUGCCUACCCGAACCCAGAUCUAACCUUGAGGCUCCUGAGUCAAACAGCCGAUCAGACCUGAUCUCAGGCUCCACGUGGGAGGGGUCGAAAUCCCCACCUGACUCUCACCUGGAAAUUGAUUUGGACGAGGACUCAGUCUAGAGGACUCCAGUGUUUGACUGCCAGAUGGACCUAGACCCUAACUCAGCUGGAACCUCCUAUGUGAAACAGCAGGAUCAACAUGGUAGACAUCAGGAAAGAGAGAAAUCCACACCAUCGCAGCGCGUGGCUCUUGAGUCUGCAUUCCCCGAGCAGAGCACAGCAUGCAGCUGCCUCCAAGGGGGGCCUCCAAGGGGCAGGGAAGAGCUGCUUCCCUCCGAGGAGGAGCUGGAUUGUUUGGGGGUUCUGAGAAAAGGAUCCUCUUCUUGGGUUGCCAACACCCAGCUCCCUCCCUCUCGGCAGUCAGGGAGGCUCGACAGCCAGGCCACACCUAACCGCUCAGGGAGAGGCCUUGAGCUGGACACCAGGUACUCUAGCAGGAGAUGGUGAGGCGGAGGGAGGCGUUGCUUAGCAACCGCAUCAGCAACAACAUCUGCGGCGAGCAGGAGGGGUUCAGCGGAUGAUACAAUGGACUGAAACUAAAAUGAUGUAAAAGACAUGUCAUGCGAGCAGCAACCACAGGACAGCCGAGUGGGCACCUGGCCAGACACCUUGGUCUCAGAACAGAAAAAGUUUUACUGAUAACAUAAGUGAUGACUUCCAUAUACCGAGAAAUGGUUACGAGUCAGCCGUCACCCGCAUCCAUCAGCUGACACAGGUGGGCAGACCCAGUGGACAUUGUUAACAGCACCAUGCCGAGUAGACAAAUGAUCUGGAGAGAGCAUUGUCUGCUACAGCUGCGUAACAAACAGCCCCAGCCCCCGGGGUGAACAACAGCAAACUACGCCAACCUAGUUCACCUCAGGACGUCUUCCCGCUUUUAAAAACAACUAAGGACCCCAAAGAGCUUUUAUUAAUUAUGUUCUUUUUAUUGACACUGUAUUAAAGAUUUUAA